CCUACGGGGGGCUGCAGUGGGGAAUUUUCCGCAAUGGGCGCAAGCCUGACGGAGCAAGACCGCGUGAGGGAAGAAGGCUCUUGGGUUGUAAACCUCUUUUCUCUGGGAAGAACGCAAUGACGGUACCAGAGGAAUCAGCAUCGGCUAACUCCGUGCCAGCAGCCGCGGUAAGACGGAGGAUGCAAGCGUUAUCCGGAAUGAUUGGGCGUAAAGCGUCCGCAGGUGGCAGUUCAAGUCUGCUGUCAAAGACCGAGGCUUAACUUCGGGCAGGCAGU
Molecule: ribosomal RNA, 275 nt
Filed under: uncultured bacterium
Lineage: Bacteria
Description: partial 16S ribosomal RNA
Rfam family: Bacterial small subunit ribosomal RNA
Source: RNAcentral